AUUGAACGCUGGCGGAAUGCUUUACACAUGCAAGUCGGGCGGCAGCGCGGGGGCAACCCUGGCGGCGAGCGGCGAACGGGUGAGUAACACAUCGGAACGUACCCUGUCGUGGGGGAUAACGAAUCGAAAGAUUCGCUAAUACCGCAUACGACCUGAGGGUGAAAGCGGGGGAUCGCAAGACCUCGCGCGAGAGGAGCGGCCGAUGGCGGAUUAGCUAGUUGGUGGGGUAAAGGCCCACCAAGGCGACGAUCCGUAGCGGGUCUGAGAGGACGGCCCGCCACACUGGGACUGAGACACGGCCCAGACUCCUACGGGAGGCAGCAGUGGGGAAUUUUGGACAAUGGGGGCAACCCUGAUCCAGCCAUUCCGCGUGAGUGAAGAAGGCCUCGGUUGUAAG
This 397-nucleotide ribosomal RNA is filed under the name uncultured bacterium. RNAcentral describes it as "bacterial SSU rRNA". It matches the Rfam family "Bacterial small subunit ribosomal RNA", at positions 29 to 429 of the family's 1533-position model. The record is from RNAcentral.